This 365-nucleotide ribosomal RNA is filed under the name Anastrepha sororcula. RNAcentral's name for it is "partial 28S ribosomal RNA". The record is from RNAcentral. Lineage: Eukaryota; Metazoa; Arthropoda; Insecta; Diptera; Tephritidae.
UGUUUUAGACUCCCUGGUCCGUGUUUCCAAGACGGGUCCCGCAAGGUAUCCUGAAUCUUUCGCAUUGUUAAUCAUAUAAAUGCAUACAAAUAAAUAUUAAUAUCAUAGAUAUUAAAUUUUUUGUAAAAUUCAAAAAAUGAAUUUUAGCAUUAUAUAUAAUAAAAUCUAUCAACACUUUAUCAAAUCAUUAGUAUUUAUUCUAUGUUAAUAUGCUUAAAAAGCAAAUUAAUUUAAAUAAACUUAAUAUCACCAAUGAUCUUUUGAUAAAUACUUUAUUAUGUUAAUAGAUUACAAUGUCCUUAUAUGAAAAAAAUGCACAUUAUUUUUUUAAUUAUAUUAAUAGAUGAAUUUUAUCAUAAAUAGGA